GGAUGGGCUGGACAUGCCGGGAGAUUAAUUUGGAUUGGUCUGCCAUGUAACACGCGUCUGUCUAUAACGUGAGCUGCUCAGAAUGUGUUGAUAAUCCUUUGUACUGCAGCUUUUUGAAAGAUAAAACUUAAGCCAUCGAGAACUACAAGAGUUUUGCUACUUUUCUCAAGAACAUUGAUGCCCUGAAUUUAGCAGGCACUAUCGACAGAUCAGUUGUAAAAUGUUGUGAUGGGCUACUUUCUGCACACACCACGGAGUGACUUGACACAAUGCUGGCCAAACAAGAUGCAUCUACAAACAAAAUGGAGUUAAAUGGUUCCAAAUCUGUCAUGAAGCGUUCAUCCAUGUAUACAGCACAUGGCCUCACGUGAAUGUAACGGCUGUCUUCGUCGUCCUCAGAUGAAGGGGAAGAGAUAUCAGACCAAAAUGCAGCGUGGUCAAAAAGAAAAGAAGAAUCAUUGUUACAAUGGCUGACUGCAAGCAACACAAGCUACUGACAUGGCUUUUGUAAGUUAUUUUCUGGAUCAGAAAUUAAAACAAAUGAUACUGACAUGAAGGGACAUAUUUUCUUUAUAAAUGGAUCAGCCUCUGUCAUUAGAAGCACAAUGCUGUUUUUUUAAUCAUAAGUUGCAGCUCAAUGUAGUCAUCUACACUGAGUGUACAAAACAUUAGGAACACACAAUUCGUUGAGGCAUGGACUCUCCAAGGUGUCGAAAGUAUUCCACAGGGAUGCUGGCCCAUAUUGACUCCAAUGCUUCCCACAGUUGUGUCAAGUUGGCUGGAUACCUUUUGGGUGGUGGACCAAUCUUGAUUCACACGGGAAACCAUUGAGCUUGAAAAAUCCAGCAGUGUUACAUUUCUUGACACACUCAAACCGGUGCGCCUGGCACUUAAGUAUUUGUCUUGCCCAUUCACCCUUAACCUGUCUCCUCCCAUUAAUCUACACUGAUUGAAGUGGAUUUAACAGGUGACAUCAAUAAGG
Molecule: long non-coding RNA, 982 nt
Filed under: Salmo salar (Atlantic salmon)
Lineage: Eukaryota; Metazoa; Chordata; Actinopteri; Salmoniformes; Salmonidae
Description: lncRNA (ENSSSAG00000100913.1)
Source: RNAcentral